GCUCAAAUUUGAAAUCUCACAGGGUUACCUGUGCGAAUUGUAGUUUAGAGAAACGUUUUCGGGGGCGACUUGGUUAUAAGUCCUUUGGAAUGAGGCAUCAUAGAGGGUGAGAAUCCCGUUUAUGAUCCAAUGUUCGCUCCUAUGUGAUACGUUUUCCAAGAGUCAGGUAGUUUGGGAUUGCUGCCUAAAAUGGGUGGUAAAUACCAUCUAAAGCUAAAUAUUGGCGAGAGACCGAUAGCGAACAAGUACCGUGAGGGAAAGAUGAAAAGAACUUUGAAAAGAGAGUUAAACAGUACGUGAAAUUGCCAAAAGGGAAACGCUUGGAACCAGUAUUGCCUCCAGGUAAUCAGCCGCACGUCCCGAAAGGGGUGCGUGUGGUGCACUUGCCUGUAGGCAGGCCAACAUCAGUUUGGUUUGGGGUAAAAAGCCGGAGGAAGGUAGCUUGGGCUUCGGCCUGAGUGUUAUAGCCUCCGGUCAUGCCUUGGACUGGACUGAGGACUGCAGCGUUAUUUGGAUACCCGAUCGCCUCCUGAACCUUUUCCGUAGACAGCAUGCUGACUAUGUAGAAGUCUAGGGAGCCCGGUCGGUUUGUCACACCAGCGCUUAGGAUGUUGGCGAAAUGGUUCCAAACGACCCGUCUUGAAACACGGACCAAGGAGUCUAACAUAUAUGCGAGUAUUUGGGUGGCAAACCCUUAUGCGAAAUGAAAGUAAACUUAGGUGGGAUCUUCGGUGCACCAUCGACCGGUCUGGAUUUUUUUGAUAGAUCUGAGUAAGAGCAUAUCUGUUGGGACCCGAAAGAUGGUGAACUAUGCCUGAAUAGGGUGAAGCCAGAGGAAACUCUGGUGGAGGCUCGUAGCGAUUCUGACGUGCAAAUCGAUCGUCAAAUUUGGGU
Molecule: ribosomal RNA, 894 nt
Filed under: Gallinipes alaskaensis
Lineage: Eukaryota; Fungi; Chytridiomycota; Chytridiomycetes; Spizellomycetales; Spizellomycetaceae
Description: eukaryotic LSU rRNA
Rfam family: Eukaryotic large subunit ribosomal RNA
Source: RNAcentral